RNAcentral lists this transfer RNA (72 nucleotides) under Planctomycetota bacterium. RNAcentral's name for it is "Planctomycetes bacterium (freshwater metagenome) tRNA-Lys". It matches the Rfam family "tRNA". Rfam says of the family: Transfer RNA (tRNA) molecules are approximately 80 nucleotides in length. Lineage: Bacteria; Pseudomonadati; Planctomycetota. The record is from RNAcentral.
GGGGUCGUGGUGUAACCGGCAGCACACUGGACUUUUAAUCCUGGAGUGUGGGUUCAAGUCCCUCCGGCCCCA